RNAcentral lists this ribosomal RNA (725 nucleotides) under uncultured bacterium. RNAcentral's name for it is "bacterial SSU rRNA". It matches the Rfam family "Bacterial small subunit ribosomal RNA", at positions 771 to 1501 of the family's 1533-position model. The record is from RNAcentral.
AACAGGAUUAGAUACCCUGGUAGUCCACGCCCUAAACGAUGUCUACUAGUUGUCGGGUCUUAAUUGACUUGGUAACGCAGCUAACGCGUGAAGUAGACCGCCUGGGGAGUACGGUCGCAAGAUUAAAACUCAAAGGAAUUGACGGGGACCCGCACAAGCGGUGGAUGAUGUGGAUUAAUUCGAUGCAACGCGAAAAACCUUACCUACCCUUGACAUGUCAGGAAUCCUUGAGAGAUCGAGGAGUGCCCGAAAGGGAACCUGAACACAGGUGCUGCAUGGCUGUCGUCAGCUCGUGUCGUGAGAUGUUGGGUUAAGUCCCGCAACGAGCGCAACCCUUGUCAUUAGUUGCUACGAAAGGGCACUCUAAUGAGACUGCCGGUGACAAACCGGAGGAAGGUGGGGAUGACGUCAAGUCCUCAUGGCCCUUAUGGGUAGGGCUUCACACGUCAUACAAUGGUACAUACAGAGGGCCGCCAACCCGCGAGGGGGAGCUAAUCCCAGAAAGUGUAUCGUAGUCCGGAUCGCAGUCUGCAACUCGACUGCGUGAAGUUGGAAUCGCUAGUAAUCGCGGAUCAGCAUGUCGCGGUGAAUACGUUCCCGGGUCUUGUACACACCGCCCGUCACACCAUGGGAGCGGGUUUUACCAGAAGUAGGUAGCUUAACCGCAAGGAGGGCGCUUACCACGGUAGGAUUCGUGACUGGGGUGAAGUCGUAACAAGGUAACC